RNAcentral lists this ribosomal RNA (322 nucleotides) under uncultured eukaryote. Its description in RNAcentral is "partial 18S ribosomal RNA". It matches the Rfam family "Eukaryotic small subunit ribosomal RNA", at positions 1470 to 1796 of the family's 1831-position model. The record is from RNAcentral.
CCCUUAGAUGUUCUGGGCCGCACGCGCGCUACACUGAUGCGUUCAACAAGUUUCCUUGGCCGAGAGGCCUGGGCAAUCUUCUUAAUAUGUACCGUGAUAGGGAUAGAUUAUUGCAAUUAUUAAUCUUGAACGAGGAAUUCCUAGUAAACGCAGAUCAUCAAUCUGCAUUGAUUACGUCCCUGCCCUUUGUACACACCGCCCGUCGCACCUACCGAUUGGAUGUUCCGGUGAAGCCUCGGGAUGAGGACUGGUGCCUUUAUUGGCAUGAGUUGUUCAGAACUUGUCUAAACCUUAUCAUCUAGAGGAAGGUGAAGUCGUAACA